This is a long non-coding RNA of Mytilus trossulus (common blue mussel), 1299 nucleotides long. RefSeq lists it as uncharacterized. The transcript has 3 exons. Lineage: Eukaryota; Metazoa; Mollusca; Bivalvia; Mytilida; Mytilidae. The record is from RefSeq and is a predicted model, not a curated record.
UCGAACGAAUAAAGGUGAUUUCUAAAAUAAAGAAUAUUAGAAAUGAACUGGAUACUGCCCAGGAUGUAGAUAACAUCGGACAGAUAACUAAACUGGUAAUCAGGAAUACAAGAAAACUGCCAGAAGAUGGACAAAAACCAUGAUCUAACAGAUUGUACCUUUUUUUUAUUUUAUGUGAUGUUCGUAUAUUUGUCUGUGUUACAUAUUUUUUAUUUAUGUAUAUUUAUGUAGAAUUACGUAUCAAUUAAACGUAGUAUACUAUUUCAGCUGCAUCUGAUGAAAUGUUCAUGUCCUCAGUAUUUAUCAACAAUUACAAGAUGCUUGAGAUGAAGCACACAACUCUUCGAGAACUGUUUGCAACGAGGAAACUUUCUAUUCAGGAGAGUAUUCGUCUGGUCUCACAACUUGCAGCUGGAAUAGCAUACUUACAUCAUCGUUAUUUGACAUUUUGCCAACCAGUUUCUUUGGAUACUUUAGUUGUCGUCAUGGAUGGAAAGACCAUCGAACGAAUAAAGGUGAUUUCUAAAAUAAAGAAUAUUAGAAAUGAACUGGAUACUACCCAGGAUGUAGAUAACAUCGGACAGAUAACUAAAGUGGUAAUCAGGAAUACAAGAAAACUGCCAGAAGAUGGACAUAAACCAUGAUCUAACAGAGUGUACAUUUUUUGAUAUUAUGUGUUGUUCGUAUAUUUGUUUGUGUAACAUCUUUUUAUUUAUGUAUAUGUAUGUAAAGUUACGUAUAGAUUAAACGUAGUAUACUUUUUCAGCUGCAUCUGAUGAAAUGUUCAUGUCCUCAGUAUUUAUCAACAAUUACAAGAUGAUUCAGAUGAAGCACACAACUCUUCGAGAACUGUUUGCAACGAGGAAACUUACCAUUCGGGCGAGUAUUCGUCUGGUCUCACAACUUGCAGCUGGAAAAGCAUACUUUAUACAUAAUCGUUAUUUGACACUUUGGCAACCAGUUCCUUUGGAUACUUUAGUUGUCGUCAUGGAUGGAAAGACCAUUGAACGAAUAAAGGUGAUUUCUGAAAUAAAGAAUAUUAGAAAUGAACUGGAUAGAUGUAGAUAACAUCGGACAGAUAACUAAACUGGUAAUCAGGAAUACAAGAAAACUGCCAGAAGAUGGACAUAAACCAUGAUCUAACAGAUUGUACAUUUUUUUUAUUGUAUGUGAUGUUCGUUUAUUUGUUUGUGUAACAUCUUUUAAAUUUAUGUAAAUGAUAAUAAAAAUUGAUCCAACCAAAUACACUGAUCAUGCAAACACUGAAGACAAUAAAAUAAACACAGCAGGAAUUUAACC